Molecule: non-coding RNA, 1286 nt
Organism: Cyanistes caeruleus (blue tit)
Lineage: Eukaryota; Metazoa; Chordata; Aves; Passeriformes; Paridae
Source: RefSeq, a predicted model, not a curated record
UAUUCACACACAAACUGACUGACUGCUGUAAACAGAUCAAGUGUUUUCUAUCACAGGCAAAGAGGGGGAAAAAAAAGACAUUCCUUCCAUUUUUGAGUGCUUUGCACUUCUAAGAGCAACUGAGCUCCCAGUAAAUUGGCAGCAUGGAUUGGUUAAUUUGGACAAGUCUAGAGAUGGGGGAGUUCAAUCUCCAGUGCCUUUGAGCCUGUACGACCUUUCAAAGUUCAAGUCUUACAAAAAAAAAAUCUCAUUUCUGACUCGCUGCCCAGGCCUUCAAACAACACAAAUCUUUUCCUUCUCCCUUUUGGAUUCUUACUGCUACAGCUCUGUGUGCAUGAAAUCCUCACUCUGGGGCAGCCUAACCCUGAGACCCUCAUUUGGGACACCCAGACUCAUUUUGGGGACACUCAGACCCUCACUGGGGACACCCAGACCCUCAUUUGGGACACCCAGACCCUCAUUUUGGGCACCCAGACUCAUUUUGGGGACACCCAGACCCUCAUUUUAGGGACACCCAGACCGUUUCUCUGAGUGGUAGCCCAGGGCAAGGCCGAGGGCCCAGGCCCACAGGCCCCACGCACUUGGCACAACCAGAAACAACCCAAAAGAUGGAAAAACGCCAUCAAAAACGCCAUCCCAGGGCCCUGUGAGGUCACACCCACACGGACACCUGGUUGUGGCCAUCCAGCACCGUUCCCAACACGCCUGUGAAGGACAGGUCUCUGUUAGCUGAGCCACUUCGUGCCUCAGGCCCAUGGAGGAGCAGCUGUUUCUGAUGGAUAACCCAGUGGAAAAGCAGAGGAAUUCUAUCAGCCACCUCCUGGAAGGUUAAAAACAUUGGGAGGGAUAAAUUUUCUGUUGCCCUGAAAUUUCUGUAGCCAGUCAGGCAUAAGAAAGCACACGCUGAAUCCAAAUUUUGCAUAUUCCAGGAAUGUGUCUAGGAUGUUUUCUGUCUUGGGAGCCCAGAAAUCUCCAGCAAUCACACAGCAACUAUCCUUGGAGUUUUCCAUGAUAAAUAGGGGCAAUAUGUUUCUUGUCAGAGGAGCUAUCUGCUUUAGGAUGGGACAGAUCAUCAUUUCAAAUGAAGCAAACAGAUCAUCAUUUCAAAUGAAGCAAACAGUACAAAAUAAGAAACAAAGGACUUUGCCUCUAAUUGGGAUUACAAGUUUGGAAGCAUGCUGUUAACUGAGCAGAUUAUUUUUGUCCUUAAUUACCUUCAUUCUUCUGGAAAACACCGAAUAUAUAUUCUUGCUCUCUUAAUAAACAAGGAUUUUUCAUAGCAUUAA